RNAcentral lists this long non-coding RNA (2206 nucleotides) under Gossypium barbadense (sea-island cotton). RNAcentral describes it as "long non-coding RNA (GBAR_LNC006066)". Lineage: Eukaryota; Viridiplantae; Streptophyta; Magnoliopsida; Malvales; Malvaceae. The record is from RNAcentral.
UGAAACAUUCGGCCAUUUUGAAGCUUAAUUCAAGGUUGGUUUUUGUUUGGUUUUUGAUAAUUUUUACGUUUUUGAGAUCAUUGCUUUGAAUACUUCAAAACCCAUAUCUUAAUUUUGUGAAUUGUUGAUGAUUUUGAGAAAUGCCAUUGAUGAAUGCUUGAGCUUUGUGAUAGUUGAUGAUGGAAUAUGAAAGAUAUGUGAAAGAUUAACAUGUCGUGUCUUUGAGUUUUUGAUGAAUUUGAGUAAUUAGGGUUUAAUUGUAAAAAUAAAUUUUUGAGGGACUAAAAUGUGAAAUAAAUGAAAUAUGUGGGCUUGUAUGGACACUAGGAAUAUUCGGCCCUUAAGGAGUGAAGUCAAAUUUUGUGUAUUUUGUGUUUUGAGCAAAAAGGACUAAAUUGUAAAAAGUGUGAAAUGUUAGGGGCAAAAUUGUAAUUUGCCUAUUUAUGUGUUUUUAGGUUAAAUUGAAUAGAAUGAUGUUUAAAUAAACUUAAUUUGAAUAUGCUUAGAUUAAGAAUUAAAGAAAUCGGAUUUGGAUCGGGGAAAUACAAAAGUGGUCGAGUAGCCGAUUUAACAGUCGACGACAUCCAAGGUAAGUCUAAUAGCAAUUUAAAUGUUAUUAAAUUGAAAUUUAUAUAAAUAUAUCUAUCAUACAUUUAGUAAGCUGGAACUAAAAGUAUAUAAAUUGAAUAAAACUUGGUGAUUUUUCUAUGUGAUAGCCGAACAUAGAAAUUAAUUUUGGGAGGUUGAUAUUAAUGGUAUAAAUUACAUGUAUAUUAGCUAAAGUAUGCUUUAAGUUCAAUGAUAUGAAACUAAUAGUAGAAUGUACAUGGAUAUGUAGUUCGAAUGUAAGAUUUAAUUUCUUGAGUUGAAUUUAAAGUUAUGAAUCAUAUAUAUAAAGUUUGAAUGUAUGAUACAAGUUCUUUGAUUCUUUGAGUUGAACUUAAUAUUAUGAAUUAUAUAUAUAUAUGCACAUAUGGUUCGAAUAUAUAUAUUUAAAGUUCUUGAGCUGUAUUUAAUGUAUGAAUUUUAUAUACAUAUGUGGUUCAAAUAUAGGUUACAAAGUUCUUGAGCUGAAUUUAAUGUAUGAAUUUUACUUACAUAUGUGGUUCGAAUAUAGGUUACAAAUUCUUUGAGCUGAAUUUUAAUGUUGUAAAUUAUACAUAUGUGGUUCGAAUGUUUGUUUGCUAUGGAGAAUUGAAUAUAAUUCAAUUCUUACGGAGAUACGGUUAUUGAGUAAGACUUAGGUAAACAUAAAGAAUUAUACGAAAGAUCAUCUUUGUAUAUGAGAUUUUCAGGCUUAAUGCCUAGCAGGCUUGAUGCCGGUGGAUUAUUUCAGGCUUAAUGCCUAGCAGGCUUGAUGCCGGUGGAUUAUUUCAGGCUUAAUGCCUAGCAGGCUUGAUGCCGGUGGAUUAUUUCAGGCUUAAUGCCUAGCAGGCUUGAUGCCGGUGGAUUAUUUCAGGCUUAAUGCCUAGCAGGCUUGAUGCCGGUGAAUUAUUUUAGACUUUAUGUCUAGCAGGCUUUGUACCGGUGAAAUGAAUCGGGCUUUGUGCCUAGCAGGCUUUAUGCCGGUGUUUUAUAUAGGGCUCUAUGUUUUAUAAAUUUUAUAUGAGCAAUAGUAAAAGCAAAUAAAUGUGUUAAGAAAGUUAAAUUAUUCAGGUAUGUGUUAGCCAUUUGCUUAAUUGCUGAUGAGGUAAGUUGAUUAUUUUAAUUUGAUAAUAGUUUCAAAUGAAAUAUAGAGUAUGAGUUAAUCAUUUGAGUAUAAGCAUGUUUUAGCAUAAUGAUUUAUUGAAUAUUCGGCUUUGCUAAAUAUUUAUGUGUAUUUGGCCAUAUGGUUUGUUUAUAUGAAAAUACAAUGUGAUUUUUAUUAAAGUGUUAUAUGGUACAAAAUAUUAUGAUAUUUGGUUUAUUUUAACUUAAUGAUGGAAUAAGUAUUAAUAUAUAUAAAUGAAUUUUUGCUUAUGACUUACUAAGCUUUAAAUAGCUUACUGUGUGUAUGUUGUUCUUCGUUUUAUAGAUUUUUGGAAGUUGGUUACGAGCUCGGGGAUCGUCAGAGAAGAUUAUCACACUAUCGACUCCUCUCGGUAUUUUGUAAAUUUUGAAUUCGAUCUUAUGGCAUGUAUAGCGUAGAUGAAAUACUUGAAUUUAGAUUAUGUAAUAUUAAGCCAUGCGAAAAUGGCUUAAUUUUCUUGUUUGUGUUCGGUUUUGG